RNAcentral lists this ribosomal RNA (490 nucleotides) under uncultured bacterium. RNAcentral describes it as "partial 16S ribosomal RNA". It matches the Rfam family "Bacterial small subunit ribosomal RNA", at positions 28 to 507 of the family's 1533-position model. The record is from RNAcentral.
GAUGAACGCUAGCUACAGGCUUAACACAUGCAAGUCGCGGGGCAGCAUGGGGGUUGCUUGCAAUCCCCGAUGGCGACCGGCGCACGGGUGAGUAACGCGUAUCCAACCUGCCCUUCACCACGGGAUAACCCGGCGAAAGUCGGACUAAUACCGUAUGUUGUCCAUUGACGGCAUCCGAUUUGGACGAAAGGUUUGGCGGUGAAGGAUGGGGAUGCGUCCGAUUAGCUGGACGGCGGGGUGACGGCCCACCGUGGCGACGAUCGGUAGGGGUUCUGAGAGGAAGGUCCCCCACACUGGAACCGAGACACGGUCCAGACUCCUACGGGAGGCAGCAGUGAGGAAUAUUGGUCAAUGGGCGUAAGCCUGAACCAGCCAAGUAGCGUGCAGGAUGACGGCCCUAUGGGUUGUAAACUGCUUUUAUGCGGGGAUAAAGUGGCCCACGUGUGGGUUUUUGCAGGUACCGCAUGAAUAAGGACCGGCUAAUUCCGUG